AGCUAUAGAAAGGUUGGUACCACUGAUUAUUAUUCAUUUAUUCACACAGAUCCAACAUUUAACCUAGACGCGAAGUAAGAAAUUAUGGCUACGUACUGUUUCACAGGAUGAUUUCGUCAGUGAAAAUGAAUGAUUGUUUAACAUUCAAGUGAAUUAUAAUCAUUUUAAAUACUUUAUUUAUCAUGGAGUUGGGUUUACCUAACACGUUAUUACCAGGUGAUCCACGAUUAGUAGAUCACAUUGUAGGAGAAGUUAAAUCUCAAGGAAUUUUUGAUCAAUUUCGUAAAGAAUGUAUUGCCGAUGUUGAUACCAAGCCAGCAUAUCAAAAUUUACGUACAAGAGUAGAAGGAUCUGUAAAUUCUUUCCUUAGCAAACAAUCAUGGAAACCAGAUUUAAACAAAAAUCAGUUGAGAGAAACAUUAAGGAAGCACAUACAUGAAGCUCCUUAUUUAGAUGCCGGUGUAGAACGCAUAGUAGAUCAAGUAGUAAAUCCAAAAGUAUAUUCUGUCUUCAUGCAUCAGAUUGAAGAUGUAGUAUACAAAUUUUUAGGAAUAGAAAGACCUAAGGCAAAAGAAAAAAAUGGUUUGUGUGGCCUUAAAGAUUUAUUACCCAAAGAUUUAGAUCCUGUUUCACCAGAGUCUGAUAAAAAUAGUUUAAAAGAUGUAUCUUUGGAGUCUAUGGAUGCCAUGGAAGAUUUAGAAAUAAAAAAAGAUAUAAAAUUUAAUGAACAAAAGUCACUAGAAGAAGAAAUCUCCAAUGAAAAAGGUAAAGAUAGUAUAUCUGAGAAUGGACAGGUUUCUUCAGAAGAAAAAACAUUAGAUGAAAGUGAUAAAAUUUUUAAUAAGACUGGUAGUAUUUUAAAUUUAAAUACAUCUGGAAAAUCAGAUGAUAAAACAGAGGAGGAUGAAGAAGACAGUCCCACUUUUGAACCAAUUGAUAUUAUGAAUCUAAAUGAAUCUAAUAAUUCCAAUGAUUCACAUUUAUCAGGUAUAUCAGAAUUAACUAGCCAUAGAUCUAGAAGUCCUGAUUUUUGUAACGAAUUAUCAAGAGACAACUUUGAUUAUAGUAAUCAAGAUUCACAACUAAGCAAAGUUUCUUCUGAUUCUCGAUUAUCUAUUGUAACUGACUUUGGAUCUUCUAAUCAUGCAUCAACUCCGAUACAUGAUCCAUUGAAAGAUGAAGUCAAUAAAGAUAGAUAUGAUGUUAAAAAUAUUAAAGACAAUUUUAAAGCUAUCGGAGAAUAUGAAUCCAGUAAAAAUAAAAGUAAUAAAAAUAUUUUUGAAUUAAAUAAGAAUAAGGAUGUACAAGAUGUUAAAGAUUCUAAAACUAUUAAAAACAAUUUAUCCUCUAAAGAAAAUUCUCGUGAUGCUACGGAUAGCAGUAUAAAAGAUAGAUAUGAAUAUAAAAAUAAUAAAGAUAAAAGCAGAGACCAUGAAUCUAAAUCAAAAUCAAAAGAUAAAAAUCAUGUAAAAGAUGGGAAGCAUCAUAGAGAUAGAAGUAGUGACAAAAAAAAAGAAAGGAGUCAUAGCAGUUCAAAGUAUGACAAGUAUGAUAAAAAUAAACCUAAAGAUAAAAACGAUCAACCAAAAGAAACUAUAGAUAAAAUUAAAGAUACAGAAAAGGAUAACUACAAUAAAACGAAGGAAGAUAAAAUAAGAGAAACAGACAAGAAAGAUAAUAUUAGUAAAGAAGGAAAAGAUCUAAAAGAUCUUUACAAAGAAAAGAUUAGGGAGCUUAGAGAAAAGAAAGAAUUAACAGAAAAAGAAAAAUUAAACAAAGACAACAAAGAAUCAAAAUCAAAUAAAGAAAAUAAAGACAGAAAGGAUUCUCCAAAAGAUAAAAAGUUGUAUAAGAAAGAUCAUAAAACUUCCUCCAAAAAUUCUUCAUCAAGUUCUCAUGAAGUGAAAACUAUUAAAGCAUCUGAAAAAGUUAUUGAUGGGAAAGAAAAAAGAAAUGAAUCAAAGGACAGAGAUAAGAGUAAACGAGAUGAGAGACGUACUUCUAAAGAUCAUAUGAAGUCUAAAAAUCAUAUCAGUAUGAAAUCAGAGCCACCAGAAAAAUUAGAUAAACAGGAUGCAAAGAAAUUUAUAAAAAGUGAAAAAGAAGAAAAGAUUGAUAAACCUGAAGUAAGGAAAGAUGUUAAGUCAAAUAAUGAAAAGGUAAAUGGUAAAAAGGAUGCUAAAAAUCAUAUGCAAAGUAAAAGUUCAACACGAAAUGAGAAAUUAGAUAGCAAGAAAGAUAAUAAAAGUGAUUCCCAACAUAAAGACAAAAGGCGAAGAGAAGAGAAAAAGUCCAAGUCAAAAGAUGACCAUUCUAGUUUAAGAAGGAAUUCUAAUGAUCGACGUUCUACAGAUAGAGAUGGUUCAAAUGGGUCAAGCAGCAAAAGUUCACAGUCUAGUAAUUCUGGAUCUAACAUUGCAAAUAAGUCAAACACAUCAACUUUUUCUAAAGAAACAAAUCAUAUGAGUAAUUCAGGCAGUGAAACAUCAGACAAUGUUGAAGAAUCACAUCCAAGUGAUCUAAAGUUAUCAUUUGAACAACAAAGUUAUAAAUUGGAUAAAGCAACAGAAUUACAUACAGAAUACAAAACUGACAACACUAAUAAUCAUGAAAUACACAUUAAACAAGAAUUAGAAUUUAAUGACAUUAACCUGCCUCUAAAAAAACGAGCAUUGCUAGGAGAAGACUAUAGCAUUUCAGGAGAAAUGAAAGUAAAGAAACCAAAAUUUGCAAAAAAUAUACAUGAAGCUAAAAAGUUAAUGAAAAUUAGAAAACAGAUAGAGAAACAGAAACUUAAAGAAAAUAAAAAAUUAGAGAAGAAACUUAGUGAAAGAAUAGAACAACCAAUUCAAACAAAUACCAUAAAUAAUGAUAAUGUUGAAAGUAUGCCAGAUGAAGAACGUGUUCAAAUAAUAGAAAUACCAGAUGAAGAGUAUGAAGAGCCGUAUCCUGAGAAAUAUACUAAUUUAACAUUAGAAGAAAGAUCAAUAAUGAUGUUACAAACUGAAGCUGGUGCAAAAGAUUUGUUGGAGACACAUUCUAAUCUAAAAUUGAAAUUGUCAGACAUGGAACUGUGUAUAAAAAAAUCAUUAAGUGAAACACUUCCCAAUAAAAUAGAAAAGGAAUCUAUCCAACCACUGAGUUCAAAUAUUCAAAAAACAUUGUCUGAUAAGAAAGGAGUUGAAAAUUCACAAAAUAAAGAAUCAUUGUCUUCUAGCAUAGAAGAAGCAGACAACAAUAUGAUAAAGGCAGAAGAAAUAGAUAAUUCUGUAGACAUAUAUUCUAAGAAGGAAACGCAACAAGAAACCAGUGUAUCUGAAAUAAAAAUACAUGUAGUACCUCAAGAACCAAGCCAUUUUAGUAUUGAUACUAAUAAAAAAGAUGUAAGCAAGAAAAAAGAGCAAUUACAGUUAAGUAAUAUAAAUACACAUAACACGACUUGUUCAAACAAUAAUAAAAGUAUAGAGAUACCUACAACAUCAAAAUUUAGAGAUGAAGAUGUUUCUCAGGAUGCUCAAAAUAGUAGUCUUUCUAAUGUAAAUAGCUGUACAAUUAAUAGAGAUUGCAUUAUAAAAUCUAAAGAGCAACCAGAGGCAAUAGAAUCAACAUCAAUGGAAACUGAAGAUAACGAAGAUUGUCGUUACUUCAAAGCAGAUAAUGAAAAAUCAGAAAAAUUUUCUAGUUUCUUAGAAUCAUUGGAAUUGAUAGAAAACAGUUCUUUAGAAGACAUAAUAGAGAGUUUAGGAGGUCAAGUUGUAUCUUCAGUGCCAAAAGCUAUGGCACCACCUUUACCAAAACGCAAACAUUCGUCUAGCCCAUUAACAGAUAUAUUAUUAAAUAAUUCAAAUAAUAAUAACGAUAGCCAUAAAAGAGGACUGAGUCUACCUAAUGAAGAAGCAUUAAGUAAUAUAAAAAAGAGAAAACUGGUACCUAAGAAGCAAAGGCUUCAAUCAAACAUAUGUGCUCCACAAGGACUUUUAAAUGGGGAAAAUUUUGUUAUGCCUUUAAGUCCAGAAAGUGAUGUAUCUGCAACAAGUGAAAAAAUACCCUCUUCAAAUCUGAUUAAAGAAGACAAAGGGUCUUAAGGUCUCUAUUUAUGAAAAAAGCAAGUUACCUAGAAGCUAUUGAGAUAUCAAAUACCAACAAAUUAUAUAUAACAUACAAUGUAAAAAGUUAAAUCUACACAUUUUUUCCGGCAUAGAAGCAGUCAACGUUAUUCAAGUGAUGACUUAUACAAACCACGUCCAUUAUUUUCAAGUUCUUCUCGUAGAAGUAGGAGAUCUAAUCAGGUAUAGCUAGUAGUUCAUAGUCUCAGAUGUUGAAUUGUUUUACUUUAUAUAAACAGAAAUCCUAGUUGUUGAUUCUAGUAACACACCCUAUAUUAUAUUUGAAUCAAAUAUUUUUAAACUUUAAUUAAUGUAAGAUACUGAUGUGACCAAGGAAAAAUUUGUGAACUAUUAUACUUAUAACAUAUUUAAAAUUUAUUCUAAAAAUUUAGUCAUAUCUUUUAUGCAAAACAUUUAAGUUAAUGUAUUUAAUGUUUCUUUAAGUAUGUGUUAAAUUAGAGAAAUUUGAAAGUUUUCUAUAGAUUGGCAUUCUUUAAAUAUAUUGUAAAUUUGAAAAGAAAAAUCUGCAUUACAUCUAAAUAGAAAGAAUACUAAAUAUAUUUUAAGGAAUUCUUACAUAAUGUUAUAAUUUGAAUAAGAAUUACUUAUGGUAAAAAUUAUUAAAUCUAACACAGUAUUAACAAAGAAAAAUAUGCACUUCAAAAUAUUUUUGAAAUAAAAGUAAAGAUCUUUUAAGAACAUUUAUUUAAUAAAUAAUCAAGUAUACAAUACUUUGAUAAAUUCAGAAAACGCAAACAAUGUGAAAUACGUAUAUGAAUGAAUUGAAAAUUGUUGCAAAAAUUUAUUUUUUCAAGAAUAUAUAUAAAUUUUUGUGAAUAUGUAUGUUUAAGUUACAUUUCAAAUUAUAUUAAGUACUACAUCUGAAUAAUUCUUGUUUAUAAAAAAAAGAUAGUUAAUAUUUUCUCAUAUUACUUAUAUGAAAAUUAUUGUAUAAAAUUCAACUUCUUAUAAAAAAUACACAAAUGCAUAAUUAAUAGUGUGCAAUUUUCGUUGAUAUACAAUACAUUAAAAAUAUACAUGAUAUAUUUAUAGGACUACAAGUUAGGUAAUUAUUGUAUACAUAUUAUUUAAAACAAACACAUUACUCAUAAUACAAGUUUUGUGUAUGCUUAUAAGAAAUUUUAUAGUGUAAUUUUCUUUUAAGUUACUAUUCGCUAAAGUGUACAUGUUGAUAAAGAAUGUGUAAGAAUAGUGCAAGCCUGAUAAGAUUAAAGGGAAAAAAUUGUUAAUACUUCUGAACAGUUAUUUUAGAGAAUAAUGUAUGAUUCAAAGUAUAACAAUAUUGUUUGCUUCUUGACAUAUUCUAUUGGUAAAUAUAUUGCACUUUAAUUUAGCGAAAGCAUCAGUAAUUAAAACCAAUUUUUCUGUGAUGUUAAAAGAAGAUAAGCUAUAGUUUCUAUAAACGUUUCUUCUUUUUUCUUUCUUUUUUAAGUAUCAAACAACAGCAACGAGAAAAUUGUAAUGCAGGGGAACGACUAAUUGCACACUAUCUCAUUUCCAACUCAAUACUUAAAGAUUGUAAUAUUAAAUUUUUACAAAGAAUGUUAUAUUUAUUAAUAAGCAUAUUCUUUAUUCUGUACAUGCAUAAGUUUGUAUAAAUAUGUAUAUAAAAUAGAAGUAGAUUACACUUUAUUACUGUGAAAAUAAUGUAGAAUAUUUUUUCCAACUUUUUAAAAUAUUUAUUGCUAUAUGUAAUAUAGUAACUAACAAUUUAUAAAACCCAUUAUUACUAUAAUUGCUUUAAAAUAAAGUGACUUUUUGUAUACAUGUUAAACAAUCUAUAAAUAUUUAAAUCCUACCUUUAAUUUUAUAUAUUUAAAUAAACAGUUCUACUACAUUGUAUGAUAUAUUUAAACUGGAAUUUUCUUAAUUAGGAGUAAUGCUGUAAUUUCCUUAAUUAAGUAUGUAAAAAGCGAUUUCAUUUUAAACAUUGUAGAUGAUAAGGUCAAAAUAAAAUUGUGUAUAAUUGCGUGGUUA
This is an RNA transcript of Bombus pyrosoma, 6104 nucleotides long. It is a transcript of the gene named myb-like protein X, with no coding region annotated. NCBI's taxonomy places the organism in Eukaryota, Metazoa, Arthropoda, Insecta, Hymenoptera, Apidae. The transcript has 4 exons. The record is from RefSeq and is a predicted model, not a curated record.